GAUGAACGCUGGCGGCGUGCCUAAUACAUGCAAGUCGAGCGAACGGACAAGAAGCUUGCUUCUCUGAUGUUAGCGGCGGACGGGUGAGUAACACGUGGAUAACCUACCUAUAAGACUGGGAGAACUUCGGGAAACCGGAGCUAAUACCGGAUGAUAUUUUGAACCGCAUGGUUCAAAAGUGAAAGACGGUCUUGCUGUCACUAAUAGAUGGAUCCGCGCUGCAUUAGCUAGUUGGUAAGGUAACGGCUUACCAAGGCAACGAUGCAUAGCCGAGCUGAGAGGGUGAUCAGCCACACUGGAACUGAGACACGGUCCAGACUCCUACGGGAGGCAGCAGUAGGGAAUCUUCCGCAAUGGUCGCAAGCCUGACGGAGCAACGCCGCGUGAGUGAUGAAGGUCUUCGGAUCGUAAAACUCUGUUAUUAGGGAAGAACAUAUGUGUAAGUAACUGUGCACAUCUUGACGGUACCUAAACAGAAAGCAACGGCUAACUACGUG
This 497-nucleotide ribosomal RNA is filed under the name uncultured bacterium. Its description in RNAcentral is "partial 16S ribosomal RNA". It matches the Rfam family "Bacterial small subunit ribosomal RNA", at positions 28 to 507 of the family's 1533-position model. The record is from RNAcentral.